CAGUCGCCGCGGGAAUACGUAGGGUGCGAGCGUUAAUCGGAACUACUGGGCGUAAAGCGUGCGCAGGCGGUUUGUUAAGACAGAUGUGAAAUCCCCGGGCUCAACCUGGGAAUGGCAGUGGAUACUGGCUCGCUAGAGUGUGUCAGAGGAUGGUGAAAUUCCCGGUGUAGCGGUGAAAUGCGUAGAGAUCGGGAGGAACAUCAGUGGCGAAGGCGGCCAUCUGGGACAACACUGACGCUGAGGCACGAAAGCGUGGGGAGCAAACAGGAUUAGAUACCCCCGUAGUCCCUGUCUCUUAUAC
Molecule: ribosomal RNA, 301 nt
Filed under: uncultured bacterium
Lineage: Bacteria
Description: partial 16S ribosomal RNA
Rfam family: Bacterial small subunit ribosomal RNA
Source: RNAcentral